This 112-nucleotide small nuclear RNA is filed under the name Jaculus jaculus (lesser Egyptian jerboa). The record is from RNAcentral. Lineage: Eukaryota; Metazoa; Chordata; Mammalia; Rodentia; Dipodidae.
GUCUUCACUUUUGCAGCACAUAGACUAAAAUUGGAAUGAUACAGAGAAAAUUAGCAUGGCCCCUGUGCAGGGAUGACAUACACAUUCAUGAAGCAUUCCAUAACAUAUUUUU